RNAcentral lists this long non-coding RNA (363 nucleotides) under Capsicum annuum. RNAcentral describes it as "long non-coding RNA (CANN_LNC009182)". The record is from RNAcentral. Lineage: Eukaryota; Viridiplantae; Streptophyta; Magnoliopsida; Solanales; Solanaceae.
CCUCUUGAAUGUAGUUUGUCCUACAGCUCGCUAAAGUGAAGGUUAUUCAGUAUUCUAAGCAAGUCAUAUGCUAUGCUAGGAGCUAAUAAAAGUCAUGUAGAUCCUCUAUCUAAGGCUAAGGUAAGCAGAGAUCUUCUGAUACCCCUCGUUCAACCAAUGGAGAUAGAAAGGAGAUAGAAUAAGUCAUCUUCUACGAUUGGUAAAGGGAUCAAACGACUUUGAGCUUUGGCAUGUUGUACGCGUGGGAAGGAAUUCCAUUCAACUAGUUUAAUGACCCUAGAGAGAAUGAACGCAUUAAGCUUGAAAGCAUGAAAUUCAAUUGCUAGCUGCAAUGACUGUCUUCUCUCUCUUUCAUUUUCUAGU